RNAcentral lists this ribosomal RNA (465 nucleotides) under uncultured bacterium. RNAcentral's name for it is "partial 16S ribosomal RNA". It matches the Rfam family "Bacterial small subunit ribosomal RNA", at positions 339 to 795 of the family's 1533-position model. The record is from RNAcentral.
CUACGGGCCGCUCCAGUGGGGAAUAUUGGACAAUGGGGGAACCCUGAUCCAGCAAUGCCGCGUGUGUGAAGAAGGCCUGCGGGUUGUAAAGCACUUUCGGUUGGGAGGACUGCUUCUAGCACUAAUAUUGUUGGAAGUUGACGUUACCUUCAGAAGAAGCACCGGCUAACUCCGUGCCAGCAGCCGGCGGUAAUACGGAGGGUGCAAGCGUUAAUCGGAAUUACUGGGCGUAAAGCGCGCGUAGGCGGCUAGAUCAGUCGGGUGUGAAAGCCCCGGGCUUAACCUGGGAACUGCAUCCGAUACUGUCUAGCUUGAGUACAGGAGAGGAGAGUGGAAUUCCACAUGUAGCGGUGAAAUGCGUAGAUAUGUGGAGGAACACCAAUGGCGAAGGCAGCUCUCUGGCCUGAUACUGACGCUGAGGUGCGAAAGCGUGGGGAGCAAACAGGAUUAGAUACCCUUGUAGUC